UGUUCUCCCUUGAUGUUGUAAUGCGUACAAAUCAUCAUUAAAGUCUUUUUCCAAGCAUUAUUGCCACAUGCAAAAGCCAAAAUAUGUGUAAAGUAGUGCACAUCGUCAACAAAGUACCUCCACACCAACCAACUUUCAAAGUAUUUUCCAACCCCAUAUCUCCAUCUGUAGUUAAGGAUAAACUCCUUUCUCUUUGCUAAACACAAAAUACCUUGAGUAUGAAAGCUCAUUUUCCUUUCAGAAGAAAAGAGUAGGCUUUGGUGGAGUUGAGAAAUGGUAAGGUGGUGCAGUAGGUGCAGGUUGCAGCAGUCAAUGAGGGCACUCAACCUCUUUGUUAACAUUCUUGGAGUUGUCAUGAUUCUUUACUCCCUUUGCCUUCACAAGACUUGGACUGAUGGUGGCUUCACAACACAUAUUUGUGAGUUGCAUUCAACUGGUUCCGAUACUCACCCUAUCACUUAAACUAAAAAUAAUCAAUAAUUAUAUAAUAGAUAUAUAAUCAAUAUGUACAAUCGUAUAUAAAUUUAUGUAUACCGGCUAGAAAAGAUAAACAAUGAAUCCGGUAUACUAUUUGUAUAAAGAUCCCGUUUAAAAAUGCUUCUUGUAUUUUGCAUGCUAUUCAUUCUUAGCUUCUUGUAUCUACUAUCUAGACAUUUUUUUUUUCUGUCAUAAUCACCUAACUCCUUAGUUUAUUGACUUAUUAGUAGCCAAUAAUCAUUUGAUCUUGGGUAUUUAUAAGCCGAUGGAAUAAAAGCAUACAUUCAAAUUAAUUAAGGGUUUAAAUUUACCUUCUUUGGUAACAGAAAGACCAAAAACAGACUCUAAUAAUAAUUGUUCAAAAGAAAAAAGAAAAUCUCCUUUCUUUUUCAUGAAUUUAAUAAUUGGUUAUUGUGCAUGUUGUUUUGUACAUUUGACUUCUUCAUUAUAAAAGAAUAUUUAUAGCUAACACUGCAUUGGCAAAAUUCUUUAUUGAAACAGGUUCAUCUACACAUGUUUAGGGAUUGGAAUUGUUGUCUGCUUGAGCUGUCUCUCUGCUCAUAUGGUCGCUAACUGUAUGACUCCUUCAAUACUUGCCCUUGUUUCCUUCAACUUUUUCAUUACCCCAUAAUUACCUAACCUAUCUCUUAAUUUAUCUCUAUAACAAAAUGAAAAAAUAAAAUAAAAAUUUAUUACUUGAUGUAAAAAGUGUUAUGUCUUCCAUUUCAUGUGAAACACUUUGUUGAUUACCAUAUUAAAUUAGCCUCAAUUUUUUAUUAUUACACUUGGAUAAAAAAUUAACACUAGUCUUGACAAUCUAAGCUACUAUACUACUAUCUAACCACGAUUUUUUUACAAUCUACUCAUAAUCAAAGAAUUAACACCAAGAGAAUUUUUGACAUAAAAAGAAAUUCCAAGUGUCUUUUGAAAUUGAAAUAGAGGUAAUGGUAAACUUUAUGUUCCUUUUUAACUGUUUCCUUACUACAACUCGUGCUCCUAAAUAGCUUCAUUUAUGUAACAAUAUCUAUCAAGGCGUAUAAAGUACUAUUAAAAACUUAUAUGUUGUAACAUUUUUAAAUUAUCAUCGUAUUUUGGUAUAUUGCAAAAUACGGACCAAUUUAACACCAAAAAUUUGUUUUAGAAACUCUAGAGUUCUCGUAUUUUUCUUUUCUCAUAACAUCAUUUUAUAAUUUUGGGAACUUAACUACUACGUCAGUACAUCAUAUUUGUAUGUGUCCUUCUAGGGGUCCAAGGUUCCAUUAUUUUUUCAACAUUCUUCAAGAUUGACUGGCGAUGGGUAUGUCUUCAGCUCGUUAAAGGACUUACAAUUAAUUUUUUUUAAUCUUAUGUUAUAUUUAUUGAGUUUGAUAAGAUGAUUAUAAGCUUCACAAACUCAAUGAUUUUUGAGUAAUCCAUAUUACUUAUAAUUAAAAAAAAAUCCACAUCUUUUUAGUCAUAAAAGUUGUUUUAUUUUGGGACCAAAGUUGGCUAAGAAAGAAGUGAGAUAGCAGUUGAGCUCACCCAUAUUGUAUAGGUUAGUCCAGUAAAUAUCCCUAAAUUCUGAAUCUUGGUCUAGUACGUUUAUUGAGUAUUGUAAUAUUUACAAAAUAAAGCAUACUUGUUCAAAUGAUAGACGAUAUACUCCACUAAAGUUUAUUUAAAAGAACAAAUGUAUACUUUUUCUUUUUGACGGAAAUAAUUAUUUAUUGAAUUUUUUACAUUGUCAGUUACUUCUUAAACAAAAGUAACAAUCUUUAUUUAAAUAUUAUUUAAGAAGUAACUGACAAUGUAAAAAACUCAAUAAGAAGAUAUUUAAUGUUGACCAUAAAAGUAAUUCGGUUUCUCUUGCCCUAUUACAGAACAUUAACCAUUACAUCCACGAUAGCCACAAAAAGUUCAAGAAAUUUGUACUCUUCCACCUAGUCAUAUGUAAACUGGUUACACUUUUAGUAUUUUUGAUCCAGGUAUAUCUUAACGUUGGAAAUUUUUUUAACAUGAAAAGAAUUACUAUAUCAUUAUGAUUAUGACUAUUAUUUUAUAAUAAACAUUUUGUAUGUUCAGAUAAAGGGUGUUUUGCUUGCUAUGAUUAUUUGGGCCAUGGGAGUUGCAACUGUUCCUCUAAUUCUGAGAUGCUACCAAAUGGUACAUAUUCAUUCUUGGUUGAUCAAAAUGCAGAUGAACUACAUGAUCCUAGGGCUGUUGAAAUUAAUCUUGAAGUUGAGUAACCAUGCAAUCUGUUGUAUCUUUAAAUUCAUUAUUUUAAUAUUCUUUUUGGUGAUUAGAGAGGAACAAAAUUAGCAAUUUUAUCUUAUUUACACCAUCAUAUUUUGUUCAUAUGUCUCAGAGAUUUUUUUGAGUUUAUCUCCUGUAGGUGUUACGCUUAUCUAAUUAAAGUAUAAUAAUGUAUUUUCUCAUUGUAAAUAGAAGCGGAAUUCAAGUUCACAUGCCAUCAUAUUGUAUUAGUUUAAUUGCUCCAACAAAUCAAAGUUGUAUAGGCCAAAAUCUGUCCUACGGAAAUUUAGCAUAAACUGGUAUUAAGAAAAAAGAUGUGGUCAAAGUCGACUAGGAAACAGUGGG
RNAcentral lists this long non-coding RNA (3054 nucleotides) under Nicotiana tabacum (common tobacco). RNAcentral's name for it is "long non-coding RNA (NTAB_LNC010532)". The record is from RNAcentral. Lineage: Eukaryota; Viridiplantae; Streptophyta; Magnoliopsida; Solanales; Solanaceae.